Unclassified non-coding RNA from Cebus imitator (Panamanian white-faced capuchin), 302 nucleotides. It matches the Rfam family "Metazoan signal recognition particle RNA". Rfam says of the family: The signal recognition particle (SRP) is a universally conserved ribonucleoprotein. The record is from Ensembl. NCBI's taxonomy places the organism in Eukaryota, Metazoa, Chordata, Mammalia, Primates, Cebidae.
ACCAGGUGCGGUGGUGUGUGCCUGUAGUCCCAGCUACUUGGGAGGCUGAGGUGGGAGGAUCACUUUAGCCCAGGAGUUCUGGGCUGUAGUGCACUAUGCUGAUCGGUUGUCUGCACUAAGUUUGGCAUCAAUAUGGUGACCUCCAGGAAGCAGGGGACCACCAGGUUGCCUAAGGAGGGGUGAGCCGGCCCAGGUCAGAAACUGAGCAGGUCAAAACAACUCCCAUGCUUAUCAGUAGUGGGAUCGUGCCUGUGAAUAGCCACUGCACUCCAGCCUGGGCAACAUAGCGAGACCCUAUACCA